GACGAACGCUGGCGGCGUGCUUAACACAUGCAAGUCGAACGGAAAGGCCCUGCUUUUGUGGGGUGCUCGAGUGGCGAACGGGUGAGUAACACGUGAGUAACCUGCCCUUGACUUUGGGAUAACUUCAGGAAACUGGGGCUAAUACCGGAUAGGAGCUCCUGCUGCAUGGUGGGGGUUGGAAAGUUUCGGCGGUUGGGGAUGGACUCGCGGCUUAUCAGCUUGUUGGUGGGGUAGUGGCUUACCAAGGCUUUGACGGGUAGCCGGCCUGAGAGGGUGACCGGCCUCCUUGGGACUGAGGUACGGACCAGACUCCUACGGGAGGCAACAGUGGGGAAUAUUGCACAAUGGGCCGGAGCCUGAUGCAGCAACGUCGCGGUCGGGAUGACGGCCUUCGGGUUGUAAACCGCUUUCGGCUGUUACGAAGCGGGAGUGACGGUAAUGGGUAAAGAAGCACCGGCUAACUACGUG
This 468-nucleotide ribosomal RNA is filed under the name uncultured bacterium. RNAcentral's name for it is "partial 16S ribosomal RNA". It matches the Rfam family "Bacterial small subunit ribosomal RNA", at positions 28 to 507 of the family's 1533-position model. The record is from RNAcentral.